This 207-nucleotide ribosomal RNA is filed under the name uncultured bacterium. RNAcentral's name for it is "partial 16S ribosomal RNA". It matches the Rfam family "Bacterial small subunit ribosomal RNA", at positions 568 to 774 of the family's 1533-position model. The record is from RNAcentral.
CGCGCAGGCGGUCUUUUAAGUCAGAUGUGAAAGCCCGGGGCUCAACCCCGGAAGUGCAUUUGAAACUAAGGGACUUGAGUAUGGGAGAGGGAAGUGGAAUUCCUGGUGUAGCGGUGAAAUGCGUAGAUAUCAGGAGGAACACCGGUGGCGAAGGCGACUUCCUGGACCAAUACUGACGCUGAGGCGCGAAGGCGUGGGGAGCAAACA